RNA transcript from Myotis daubentonii (Daubenton's bat), 2443 nucleotides. It is a transcript of the gene named beta-1,4-galactosyltransferase 7, with no coding region annotated. Lineage: Eukaryota; Metazoa; Chordata; Mammalia; Chiroptera; Vespertilionidae. The record is from RefSeq and is a predicted model, not a curated record.
GGGCGACGGGUAGGGGCGGGGCGGGAGGCGGAGGUGCCGCGUAGGCCGAGGAGGCCGGCCCGCCCGGCUGGGAGCUCGAGCCCCAUGCGCGGCCGCCUCCCCCCACGAUGUUCCCCUCCCGGAGGAAAGCGGCGCAGCUGCCCUGGGAGGACGGCAGGUGGGAUAGUUCCCCAUGUCCACCUCCCCGGUCUCCACCCCAUCCCCAGAAAGGGCUCAGAGGGAGAAUCAGUAGAGACUCCAGCCUUCCCAGGCCACUGGCAGGAUUGGGUUCUGCUCCCCAUCGGAAACCCCCACCACAGGACAAUGGGGGGUCCAGGCUGCUUCCCAGCAGCCUUCCCCGGAAAUGCUCCGUCUUCCACCUCUUCGUUGCCUGUCUCUUACUGGGCUUCCUCUCCCUGCUCUGGCUGCAGCUCAGCUGCUCUGGUGACAUGGCCUGGGCAUCCAAGGGACAAGGGCAGGAGACCCCAGGUCCACCCCGGGCCUGCCCCCCAGAGCCGCCCCCUGAGCACUGGGAAGAAGAUCCAUCAUGGGGCCCUCACCGCCUGGCAGUGCUGGUGCCCUUCCGAGAACGCUUUGAGGAGCUCCUGGUCUUUGUGCCCCACAUGCAUCGCUUCCUGAUCAGGAAGAAGAUCCCACACCACAUCUACGUGCUCAACCAGGUGGAUCAUUUCAGGUUCAACCGGGCGGCACUCAUCAAUGUGGGAUUCCUGGAGAGCAGCAACAGCACAGACUACAUCGCCAUGCACGACGUGGACCUGCUCCCUCUCAACGAGGAGCUGGACUAUGGCUUCCCUGAGGCAGGGCCCUUCCACGUGGCCUCCCCAGAGUUCCACCCGCUCUACCACUACAAGACCUAUGUCGGCGGCAUCCUGCUGCUCUCCAAGCAGCACUACCAGCUGUGCAACGGGAUGUCCAACCGCUUCUGGGGCUGGGGCCGUGAGGACGAUGAAUUCUACCGGCGCAUCAAAGGAGCUGGGCUCCAGCUAUUCCGCCCCUCGGGCAUCACAACUGGAUACAAGACAUUUCGCCACCUGCAUGACCCAGCCUGGCGGAAGAGGGACCAGAAGCGCAUUGCAGCUCAAAAACAGAAAGAAACCGAUGUCAGACUUGUGGCCAUAUGGGCUAGGCCAGAACCCAGGCCUUUCACCUGCUCCAUCCUGGACCAGUGACGCCUCUCGGCCAGAGCAUGGGGCUGGGACGCUCACCUUUAUCCAGGGACUUCUACCAGCCAAGCACUGGGACGCAUUUUUUCAGGCCCAGGCCCACUGUCCUGACCAGCCAGCCGUCUCUACCUCUUCAGCCCUGCUCCUCACCACUGCCCAGAGCGUGCCAUCACCCAAGACCCUGCUCUAAGAUCCACUAUGGCGAGACCUCACGCAGCCAGGCCUGGCUCCUUCUGGAGAACAUGCUUCCUCAGCCUCCCGUUUCCGUUUUUGUUUUUUGUCCCCUCUUCGGUUGGAACUGGGGCCCCUCCCUUCUACCCACUCCUUCAUACCUUUGCUCAAGCUAGGCUUUCCUCCAGGAAUGCCUUCCUCCUUCCCCACCUGCAUCUUAUCUUGGCUCAGCUUCCCUCCGCCUGAGGUCUCCCCUGGCUGUGUCAGCCCAAGCUGGUUUCUGCCCCUUAUACUUUGCCAAUACCACAUCUGUAAUAUGGGGAGAAGACAGACUGACCUCAAAGGAAUAAAUGAGGUGACUCAUGUCUAGGGCUUGGAGCAGCAGUGGGCACACAGGAAGGGCUAGCGAACGUGAGCUCUUACUAUGAAUACCCUGAUUAACACUGAAUCCACAUGCCAUCUGGGGUUCUUUCACAUUUCUACUCCGGUAUUUCCAGCUAAAUGAUAAAAGAAUCCUGGGCACGGAGACCUGCAGACCUGGGUCAGAAUUUCAUCUGCCCCACAUUUUACCCUGGUGAAGUCACACAAAUUCCUGCUGUCACCGGAAAGGGACCAGGCCCGGAGCAGGUCUGCCUCAGGGCCAGCCUGUAGUGUGUGGGUUCUUGACUUUGUGCAGGAAAGAUGUCACAACAUGAGCCCAGGUGAUUUUGAGUACAUUCAUUGAGCCGGGGACAGUGAAACAAAGGAAGGGCUUAGGAUAGAAGGAGCAACAGGAGAGAGCCUGGGUGAGGCUACUUUGGCCUCUAGAAACAGUAUAGGAAAGAAGUGCGUGGCCCUGGCUGGUUUGGCUCAGUGGAUAGAGCAUCAACCUGUGGACCGAAGGGUCCUGGGUUCGAUUCUGUUCAAGGGCACGUACCUUGGUUGCAGGCUCAAUCCCAGCCCUGGUCGGAGCUGGUGCAGGAGGCAACUAAUCGAUGUGUUUCUCUGACAUCGAUAUUUCUCUGUCUUUCCCUCUCUCUCUAAAAGAAGAAUCAAUGGGUGCUUGCUUCGGUAGCACAUUUACUAAAAUUGGAACGAUACAGAGAAGAUUAGCAUGGCCCCUGUGCAAG